AGGACGAACGCUUGCGGCGUGCCUAAGAAAUGCAAGUCGAGCGGGGGAGCAAUCCCUAGCGGCGAACGGUCGCGUAACACGUAAGCAACCUGCCCGAAAGACCGGGACAACAGCUCGAAAGGGCUGCUAAUACCGGAUGUGUCCACUUUGCCUCAUGGCUUAGUGAGUAAAUCAUUUAUGGCUUUCGGAGGGGCUUGCGGCCUAUCAGCUAGAUGGCGGUGUAACGGACCACCAUGGCGACGACGGGUAGCU
This 252-nucleotide ribosomal RNA is filed under the name uncultured bacterium. RNAcentral describes it as "partial small subunit ribosomal RNA". It matches the Rfam family "Bacterial small subunit ribosomal RNA", at positions 26 to 288 of the family's 1533-position model. The record is from RNAcentral.